RNAcentral lists this transfer RNA (71 nucleotides) under Loxodonta africana (African savanna elephant). It matches the Rfam family "tRNA". Rfam says of the family: Transfer RNA (tRNA) molecules are approximately 80 nucleotides in length. Their secondary structure includes four short double-helical elements and three loops (D, anti-codon, and T loops). Further hydrogen bonds mediate the characteristic L-shaped molecular structure. tRNAs have two regions of fundamental functional importance: the anti-codon, which is responsible for specific mRNA codon recognition, and the 3' end, to which the tRNAs corresponding amino acid is attached (by aminoacyl-tRNA synthetases). tRNAs cope with the degeneracy of the genetic code in two manners: having more than one tRNA (with a specific anti-codon) for a particular amino acid; and 'wobble' base-pairing, i.e. permitting non-standard base-pairing at the 3rd anti-codon position. Lineage: Eukaryota; Metazoa; Chordata; Mammalia; Proboscidea; Elephantidae. The record is from Rfam by way of RNAcentral.
GCAGUGGUGGUUCAGUGAUAGAAUUCUUGCUUUCCAUGUGGGAGACCUGUGUUCGAUUCUCGGCCAAUGCA